AGACUGGCUUUUCUUUGUGUGGC
This 23-nucleotide non-coding RNA is filed under the name Rattus norvegicus (Norway rat). Lineage: Eukaryota; Metazoa; Chordata; Mammalia; Rodentia; Muridae. The record is from RNAcentral.